CAGAGCUGCAAAACUCCCACAAACCAUCGCGAAUCUUACCCGUACGGUUGCCUCGGCGCUGGCGGUCCGGAAGGCCCUCGGGCCCCCCGGAUCCUCGGGUCUCCCGCUCGCGGGAGGCUGCCCGCCGGAGUGCCGAAACCAAACUCUUGAUAUUUUAUGUCUCUCUGAGUAAACUUUUAAAUAAGUCA
This 188-nucleotide unclassified non-coding RNA is filed under the name soil metagenome. RNAcentral's name for it is "partial internal transcribed spacer 1". The record is from RNAcentral.